Molecule: microRNA precursor, 142 nt
Filed under: Leersia perrieri
Lineage: Eukaryota; Viridiplantae; Streptophyta; Magnoliopsida; Poales; Poaceae
Description: pre miRNA mir-172
Rfam family: mir-172 microRNA precursor family
About the family: mir-172 has been experimentally verified in Arabidopsis thaliana. This family is thought to target mRNAs coding for APETALA2-like transcription factors.
Source: Rfam by way of RNAcentral
GUGUUUGCGGGCGUGGCAUCAUCAAGAUUCACAUGCAUGCAUCGAUCAUCCUUGAUAAUAUAUCAGAAGAAAGAAAGAUACAUUUGACAUCCCGCUUUCGCUGGCUGGAUGAGAAUCUUGAUGAUGCUGCAUCCGCAGACAA